Molecule: ribosomal RNA, 273 nt
Filed under: uncultured bacterium
Lineage: Bacteria
Description: partial 16S ribosomal RNA
Rfam family: Bacterial small subunit ribosomal RNA
Source: RNAcentral
UACGGAGGGUGCGAGCGUUGUCCGGAAUCACUGGGCGUAAAGGGCGCGUAGGCGGUUCGUUAAGCGUGCGGUGAAAGCUCGGGGCUCAACCCCGAGUCGGCCGUGCGAACUGGGGAACUGGAGCCCACUAGAGGCAGGCGGAAUUCCGGGUGUAGCGGUGGAAUGCGUAGAGAUCCGGAAGAACACCGGUGGCGAAGGCGGCCUGCUGGGGUGGAGCUGACGCUGAGGCGCGACAGCGUGGGGAGCAAACAGGAUUAGAUACCCUCGUAGUCC